CUUCAUGGUUCGGGCAUUCCAUGAGUUUGUCAUUGAAUCUUUGCCAUACCUCAUAUAAGGGCUUAUCACUAAGUUGACAAAAAUUUGUGAUUUCGUCUCUUAGUUG
This is a non-coding RNA of Capsicum annuum, 106 nucleotides long. The record is from Rfam. Lineage: Eukaryota; Viridiplantae; Streptophyta; Magnoliopsida; Solanales; Solanaceae.